Non-coding RNA from Nicotiana sylvestris (wood tobacco), 71 nucleotides. Lineage: Eukaryota; Viridiplantae; Streptophyta; Magnoliopsida; Solanales; Solanaceae. The record is from Rfam.
GACUAGGUAACAUAAUGGAAAUGUAUCUGACUGUAAAUCCUAAAAUGACGAUUCAACCCCAUCCUUGGCCU